UCGAGAAUUUUUCUCAAUGGGCGCAAGCCUGAAGGAGCGACGCCGCGUGUGGGAUGAAGGGUUUCGAUCCGUAAACCACUGUCAUUUGUGAACAAUGGUUAUCCGUGAAUAACGGAUGACUUGAUAGUAAUGAAAGAGGAAGGGACGGCUAACUCUGUGCCAGCAGCCGCGGUAAUACAGAGGUCCCGAGCGUUGUUCGGAUUCACUGGGCGUAAAGGGUGCGUAGGUGGCAUGGUAAGUUUGAUGUGAAAGCUCAGGGCUCAACCCUGAAAUGGCAUUGAAUACUACUGUGCUGGAGGUUUGGAGGGGGGACUGGAAUUCUUGGUGUAGCAGUGAAAUGCGUAGAUAUCAAGAGGAACACCAGUGGCGAAGGCGAGUCCCUGGACAACACCUGACACUGAGGCACGAAAGCCGGGGGAGCAAACAGG
Molecule: ribosomal RNA, 428 nt
Filed under: uncultured bacterium
Lineage: Bacteria
Description: bacterial SSU rRNA
Rfam family: Bacterial small subunit ribosomal RNA
Source: RNAcentral